CGGUGCCUACGGGGCGCAGCAGUGGGGAAUAUUGCACAAUGGGGGAAACCCUGAUGCAGCGACGCCGCGUGAGUGAAGAAGUAUUUCGGUAUGUAAAGCUCUAUCAGCGGGGAAGGAGAAGGACGGUACCUGAGUAAGAAGCCCCGGCUAACUACGUGCCAGCAGCCGCGGUAAUACGUAGGGGGCAAGCGUUAUCCGGAUUUACUGGGUGUAAAGGGAGCGUAGACGGCGAAGAAAGUCUGAAGUGAAAGCCCGCGGCUCAACCGCGGAAUGGCCUUGGAAACUUUUUUGUUGGAGUACCGGAG
Molecule: ribosomal RNA, 305 nt
Filed under: uncultured bacterium
Lineage: Bacteria
Description: bacterial SSU rRNA
Rfam family: Bacterial small subunit ribosomal RNA
Source: RNAcentral